Molecule: long non-coding RNA, 2857 nt
Filed under: Capra hircus (goat)
Lineage: Eukaryota; Metazoa; Chordata; Mammalia; Artiodactyla; Bovidae
Description: lncRNA (ENSCHIG00000005351.1)
Source: RNAcentral
UCUUCACAGAGUAUAUCAGACAGUUUGGCGUUAGGCACCUGCAACAAUGUGACGGGAGCAGCAGCAAACAAAAAAUCCCAAGAUUUAAACCUGGAGAACCAGCCAAAAAUCUCAGCUUGUUCAAUAAAGGAAUCUAAAACUAGAGUCUCAAAGAAUAUCAUCUUUAGAAAACCUGCAAAAGUGAUUUUCAAUUUAGAUCAAACUCCACAGGAUUCAAACUGGGAACAACCAUGGAAGAAAAAUCUUUUAGAAAGAGUGCAGGCAAGAGCCCAAGCAAUGCAUCAGAAAAUCAUAGAUAAGGAAAAUCUGAAGAAGGAACUAGAGAAAAAGGUUGAAGAGAAACUCCCCAGGGAUAAUUUGGCCAAAGAGUGGUUUAAUACUGAAAACAUGACACUGAGCACUCGUGCGUAUUUGCUCGACAAACUUUUACCCACCUUAGUCCCUGGAAUGGAAAGAAUGUUAAUGCAAGUGGAAAAGAAGAAGCUUUUGGCAGAUGUUGAUAUUCCCACCAAGUUUGACCCAAUUAACCAUUUGGGAGAAUACUUAAUGAGAAACAACCCUAAUUAUAUCAAAGAUCCAGGACUGUCUGGUUAUCAGAGGGUGAUGAGAGAUAUUUCGGAAGACCUGAAGAUACAUGUUCCGAACACUACUUACAACAGAGUAUCCAAGAUAAAGGAGAAUAUUAAACAGAAACGAGAACAAAAAGAAUACAUAAACGACAUCAAAGCCAAGGUGGCCAACGCACGGAAACAGGCUCUGCAGGAGCAGUUCAAUGAGUGGAUUCUAGACCCCAAAGGAAUGAUUCCCAUGGUAGUGGUAAGGAGGAGGGUACCUGUGAAGGGUAAGGUGGAAGGGUGGUAAGAGCGAUUGCUAGAUCCUGAGCAAUCUAGAGUGCUUCUAGAGUGCUAGAAGCUUCCCUCUAAAUUUUCCAUCUUGCUGAGGUAAAUCUAGCCCACGAAAGUAAGUUUCUUCAAUUUUCUCUUGAACAUUAAAAAGAAAAUUCUAGGUAGAUUUCCAAAAUAUUAAUUCUGGCUGAAUUUCACAAACUUCAUUAUAGACAGACAUAGCUUCUGUUUGUUUUUCGUAUGUGUGUGACUAAUUACUUCUGCGGGCUAAACGACCAUGUCCUUUUUGUAGUGUGGAGUGAGGGUAUGGGCGGCACCAUGCAGCUUGUGGGAUUUUAACUCCCUGACGAGGGAUCGAACCUGGGCCCUCAGCAGUGAAAGUGUGGAGUCCUAACUGCUGGACCACCAGGGAAUUCCCUAAAAGACCAUGUCAUUAGCUCCAGAAAAUAACUGUGCUCUAAGAGAUAAAUAUGUUCUCUUAGGUAUAUGUAGGUGCUUCCCAGGUGGCACCAGUGGUAAAGAAUCUGCCUGCCAGUGCAGAAGUCGUAGGAGACUUGGGUGUGAUCCUUGGGUCGGGAAGAUCCCCUGGAGUAGGAAAUGGCUACCCACUCCAGUAUUCUGCCUGGGACAUUCUAUGGACAGAGGAGCCUGGUGGCUACAGUCCAUGGGUUCACAGAGCCAGACAUGACUGAGCACACAUAUACACACAGGUAUAUGUAGAUGUGAGAAUAAUUGUUGGUUAUAUACAAUACCCACCGCACUCCAGUACUCUUGCCUGGAAAAUCCCAUGGACGGAGGAGCCUGGUAGGCUGCAGUCCAUGGGGUCACUAAGAGUCGGACACGUCUAAGCGACUUCACUUUCACUUUCACGCACUGGAGAAGGAAAUGGCAACCCACUCCAGUAUUCUUGCCUGAAGAAUCCCAGGGACGGGGGAGCCUGGUGGGCUGCCAUCUGUGGGGUCGCACAGAGUCAGACACGACUGAAGUGACUUAGCAGCAGCAGCAGCAGCAUAUACAAUACCAAGUAUAUUUCCAGUUCAAAGUGAAUUGCUAAAAAUACACCAAGGAGGACAAGCCUCAGACUGGAAGAAAAUAUUUACAAAAGACAUGGCUGAUAAAGGACAAUUAUCCAAAAUAUACAAAGAGCUCUUGAAAUCAACAAUAAGAAAACAAAUAACAGGUUUUAAAAGGGGCAAAAGACCUGAACAGACACUUCACCAAAGAUAUACAGAUGGCAAAAAAGCAUAUGAAAAGAUGUUCCACACAUGUCAUUGAGGAAAUGCAAUUGAAAACAGCCAUGAGAUACCACUACACACCUAUCAGAAUCCAGAACACUGACAACACCAAAUGCUGGCAAAGAUGUGCAGCAGCAGAAACUCUCAUUCAUUAUUGGUAGAAAUACAAAAUGGUUAUGGCCACUUUGGAACACAGCUUGGCACACAAAAGCUGACACAUGGAUGUUUACUGCAUAAUUCAGUUCAGUUCAGUUCAAUUAGCAAAACUUGGAAGCAACCAAGAUGUCCUUCAGUGCAUAAGUCGCCUCAGUCAUGUACAACUCUUUCUGACCCCAUGGACUGUAGCCUGCCAGACUCCUCUGUGCAUGGGAUUCUCCAGGCAAGGAUACUGGAGCAAGUUGCUAUGCCCUCCUCCAGGGGAUCUUCCUGACCCAGGGAUUGAAUCUGCAUCUCUUAUGUAUCCUGCAUUGCAGCUGGAUUCCUUAUCACUAACACCACCUGGGAAGCCAUCCGUCAGUAGGUGAAUAAUAAAUAAAUGUGGUACAUCCAGAUAGUGGAAUAUUAUUCUGUGCUAAAAAGAAAUGAGCUAUCAAGCCAUGAAAAGAUGUGGGAGAACCUUACAUGCAUAUUACUAAGUAAAAGAAGCCAAUCUGAAAAGGCUAUAUACCGUAUGAGUCUAAUUCUAUAACAUUCCAGAAAAAGUAAAAUUAUGAAGACAGGAAAGGUGGGGUGUGGACAGAGAUGAAUAGACAGAACAUAGAAGAGUUUAAGGUGGUG